This 332-nucleotide ribosomal RNA is filed under the name uncultured Bacillus sp. RNAcentral's name for it is "bacterial SSU rRNA". It matches the Rfam family "Bacterial small subunit ribosomal RNA", at positions 568 to 898 of the family's 1533-position model. The record is from RNAcentral. Lineage: Bacteria; Bacillati; Bacillota; Bacilli; Caryophanales; Bacillaceae.
CGCGCAGGCGGUUUCUUAAGUCUGAUGUGAAAGCCCACGGCUCAACCGUGGAGGGUCAUUGGAAACUGGGGAACUUGAGUGCAGAAGAGGAGAGUGGAAUUCCACGUGUAGCGGUGAAAUGCGUAGAGAUGUGGAGGAACACCAGUGGCGAAGGCGACUCUCUGGUCUGUAACUGACGCUGAGGCGCGAAAGCGUGGGGAGCGAACAGGAUUAGAUACCCUGGUAGUCCACGCCGUAAACGAUGAGUGCUAAGUGUUAGAGGGUUUCCGCCCUUUAGUGCUGCAGCAAACGCAUUAAGCACUCCGCCUGGGGAGUACGGCCGCAAGGCUGAA